This 509-nucleotide ribosomal RNA is filed under the name uncultured bacterium. RNAcentral describes it as "bacterial SSU rRNA". It matches the Rfam family "Bacterial small subunit ribosomal RNA", at positions 418 to 919 of the family's 1533-position model. The record is from RNAcentral.
UCGGGUUGUAAAGCACUUUAAGCGAGGAGGAAGGUCAUCAUACUAAUAUUAUGAUGAAUUGACGUUACUCGCAGAAUAAGCACCGGCUAACUCUGUGCCAGCAGCCGCGGUAAUACAGAGGGUGCAAGCGUUAAUCGGAAUUACUGGGCGUAAAGCGCGCGUAGGCGGUUUGUUAAGUCGGAUGUGAAAUCCCUGGGCUCAACCUAGGCACUGCAUCCGAUACUGGCUGACUAGAGUGUGGGAGAGGAAGGUAGAAUUCCAGGUGUAGCGGUGAAAUGCGUAGAGAUCUGGAGGAAUACCGAUGGCGAAGGCAGCCUUCUGGCCUAACACUGACGCUGAGGUGCGAAAGCAUGGGGAGCAAACAGGAUUAGAUACCCUGGUAGUCCAUGCUGUAAACGAUGUCAACUAGCCGUUGGGGUCUUUAAGACUUUAGUGGCGUAGCUAACGCGAUAAGUUGACCGCCUGGGGAGUACGGUCGCAAGACUAAAACUCAAAUGAAUUGACGGGGG